GUGUCAGCAGCCGCGGUAAUACGUAGGUGGCAAGCGUUGUCCGGAUUUACUGGGCGUAAAGGAUGUGUAGGCGGAUCUUUAAGUGAGAUGUGAAAUCCCCGGGCUUAACUUGGGGGCUGCAUUUCAAACUGGAUGUCUAGAGUGCAGGAGAGGAAGGCAGAAUUCCUAGUGUAGCGGUGAAAUGCGUAGAGAUUAGGAAGAAUACCAGGGGCGAAGGGGGUGUUCUGGACUGUAACUGACGCUGAGGCAUGAAAGCUGGGG
This 261-nucleotide ribosomal RNA is filed under the name uncultured bacterium. RNAcentral's name for it is "partial 16S rRNA". It matches the Rfam family "Bacterial small subunit ribosomal RNA", at positions 505 to 765 of the family's 1533-position model. The record is from RNAcentral.